AGCAGCCGCGGUAAUUCCAGCUCCAAUAGCGUAUAUUAAAGUUGUUGCAGUUAAAAAGCUCGUAGUUGAAUUUCGGGAUUGACGUGAUGGUCGUGCCUUAAGGGGUAUGAACUGUCGCAGUUGAUUUCUCACCUUCUGGAGAAGCUUGAUGUCCUUAAUUGGGUGUCAUGUGGAACCAGGACCUUUACCUUGAAAAAAUUAGAGUGUUUAAAGCAGGCAUUUUGCUCGAAUACAUUAGCAUGGAAUAAUAGAAUAGGACGGCAUGGUUCUAUUUUGUUGGUUUCUAGGAUCACCGUAAUGAUUAAUAGGGAUAGUUGGGGGCAUUAGUAUUCAAUUGUCAGAGGUGAAAUUCUUGGAUUUAUUGAAGACUAACUACUGCGAAAGCAUUCGCCAAGGAUGUUUUCAUUAAUCAAGAACGAAAGUUAGGGGAUCGAAGACGAUCAGAUACCG
This 450-nucleotide ribosomal RNA is filed under the name uncultured Glomeromycotina. RNAcentral's name for it is "SSU rRNA". It matches the Rfam family "Eukaryotic small subunit ribosomal RNA", at positions 569 to 1017 of the family's 1831-position model. The record is from RNAcentral. Lineage: Eukaryota; Fungi; Glomeromycota.